GAAGAAAAAUAAAAAGAACAGAGAGGGAGAACGAGCGAGAAAGAGAGAACGAAGAGGAAAGCAAAGACAUUGAGAAGGUAGCGUGCUUGAUCAAGAUUCUUCAGUGGACGUAGGUUAUGGUUUAUUUCUAUGUGAUAGAUAAACUCUAAAUAGCGAUCGAUAUGUAUUGGGUAGUAUUGUAAAGUCUCUAUAUGCUUGAUUGUGUGUUUGUAUGUUGUGAUUGUGUAAUUGUGGUGGUCAGAAUGAUGAGGCUGUUGAAUCUUUAAUCUUAAAUCCUCUCUAUUAAG
Molecule: unclassified non-coding RNA, 287 nt
Filed under: Hevea brasiliensis (rubber tree)
Lineage: Eukaryota; Viridiplantae; Streptophyta; Magnoliopsida; Malpighiales; Euphorbiaceae
Source: RNAcentral